RNAcentral lists this ribosomal RNA (506 nucleotides) under uncultured bacterium. Its description in RNAcentral is "partial 16S ribosomal RNA". It matches the Rfam family "Bacterial small subunit ribosomal RNA", at positions 29 to 523 of the family's 1533-position model. The record is from RNAcentral.
AUUGAACGCUGGCGGCAGGCCUAACACAUGCAAGUCGGACGGUAGCACAGAGGAGCUUGCUCCUCGGGUGACGAGUGGCGGACGGGUGAGUAAUGUCUGGGGAUCUGCCCGAUAGAGGGGGAUAACCACUGGAAACGGUGGCUAAUACCGCAUAACGUCGCAAGACCAAAGAGGGGGACCUUCGGGCCUCUCACUAUCGGAUGAACCCAGAUGGGAUUAGCUAGUAGGCGGGGUAACGGCCCACCUAGCCGACGAUCCCUAGCUGGUCUGAGCGGAUGACCAGCCACACUGGAACUGAGACACGGUCCAGACUCCACCGGGAGUCAGCAGUGGGGAAUAUUGCACAAUGGGCGCAAGCCUGAUGCAGCCAUGCCGCGUGUAUGAAGAAGGCCUUCGGGUUGUAAAGUACUUUCAGCGGGGAGGAAGGCGAUGUGGUUAAUAACCGCGUCGAUUGACGUUACCCGCAGAAGAAGCACCGGCUAACUCCGUGCCAGCAGCCGCGGUAA